CGAGAUUCUGGGGGCUCCAAGGGGGUGCAGUGUCUAUUUAGACAUCACUCAUUCUACUCAAGGUUUCAAAGCCUGACCGACGAGGGACAGAACAAAAGAGACACCUUGUGAACACACCCUCAGGACAGUAGGGCAGAAGAGCCAGCAGUCUUAGUGGGCACUAGCAGUAGAGGAAGUGGGCACCAGUCAGCACCAGGCACCCUACUUAUCUCCCCACCAGAAACAGACUGAUGAGGCCAUAGGAGCAGGAGAACAGUGGAGGCUGGGGCAAGAGGGACCAGGAACUGAAGGCACCUCCCCAGGGGAUACUAUCCCCACCCCCCAGCUCAGCUCCAUCCAGGAAAGAGGGAAUAGAGAAAAUUCCUAAGAGGACCUGUAAACAGAUAGUGGCCAGAUGUAAACCUGCCUCAACUCUUAUAUGUCUUUCCUGAGCUUACUCAAGACAAGUACCAU
RNAcentral lists this long non-coding RNA (453 nucleotides) under Bos taurus (domestic cattle). Its description in RNAcentral is "long non-coding RNA NONBTAT001528". The record is from RNAcentral. Lineage: Eukaryota; Metazoa; Chordata; Mammalia; Artiodactyla; Bovidae.